This 497-nucleotide ribosomal RNA is filed under the name uncultured bacterium. Its description in RNAcentral is "partial 16S ribosomal RNA". It matches the Rfam family "Bacterial small subunit ribosomal RNA", at positions 28 to 507 of the family's 1533-position model. The record is from RNAcentral.
GAUGAACGCUGGCGGCGUGCCUAAUACAUGCCAGUCGAGCGAACAGACGAGGAGCUUGCUCCUCUGACGUUAGCGGCGGACGGGUGAGUAACACGUGGAUAACCUACCUAUAAGACUGGGAUAACUUCGGGAAACCGGAGCUAAUACCGGAUAAUAUAUUGAACCGCAUGGUUCAAUAGUGAAAGACGGUUUUGCUGUCACUUAUAGAUGGAUCCGCGCCGCAUUAGCUAGUUGGUAAGGUAACGGCUUACCAAGGCAACGAUGCGUAGCCGACCUGAGAGGGUGAUCGGCCACACUGGAACUGAGACACGGUCCAGACUCCUACGGGAGGCAGCAGUAGGGAAUCUUCCGCAAUGGGCGAAAGCCUGACGGAGCAACGCCGCGUGAGUGAUGAAGGUCUUCGGAUCGUAAAACUCUGUUAUUAGGGAAGAACAAAUGUGUAAUUAACUACGCACGUCUUGACGGUACCUAAUCAGAAAGCCACGGCUAACUACGUG